UACGGAGGGUGCAAGCGUUAUUCGGAAUUACUGGGCGUAAAGCGCGCGUAGGCGGCUAGAUAAGUCGGAUGUGAAAGCCCCGGGCUCAACCUGGGAACUGCAUUCGAUACUGUUUGGCUAGAGUAUGAGAGAGGGAGGUAGAAUUCCACGUGUAGCGGUGAAAUGCGUAGAUAUGUGGAGGAAGACCGGUGGCGAAGGCGGUCGCCUGGCUUAAUACUGACGCUGAGGUGCGAAAGCGUGGGGAGCAAACAGG
Molecule: ribosomal RNA, 253 nt
Filed under: uncultured bacterium
Lineage: Bacteria
Description: partial 16S ribosomal RNA
Rfam family: Bacterial small subunit ribosomal RNA
Source: RNAcentral